ACACAGGCAGCCCCGGGGCAACACAGGCAGAGAUGUGAUAAGUCUGAGUGUCCAGUCUGCAGAGAAGGAAAAUGCAAAAUCUCUAAGUCCAGGUAACAAAAUUCACCUGGUUUUGGACCUGCUUCCCUGAAAUGUCUUCAUAAACUCCCUGUCAGAGGAUGCCCUGGCUGCUGCAGAAUGAGCCUGAGUAACUUUGACAGACCUUGAAAUGCAUCUGUAUGGAUCAGAUUACCUCAGAAGUAGGAGGAAAUUUAUAUUUAUUGGAAGUCCUGCAGAGCCGACAUAACCGUGGGAUUGUGGAUGGGCUCUGGGGGACCAGCAGCCAAAUUAAACGGCACUUGCAGCUGCUCUGAUGCAAACUCACCAAAGACAGAGGAGCUGAACUGACAAGCAACAGCUGAGAGCUGACCUGGGCUGCAGAGGCUGUAGUUGGCACCGGAGGGGAGAUUAAAGCCAUCACUUCAAGUCUGAGGUUACGGAUUAUGAUUGGAAAAAAAUAUAUAUAUAUGGAUAUUUAUA
This is a long non-coding RNA of Coturnix japonica (Japanese quail), 519 nucleotides long. RefSeq lists it as uncharacterized. The record is from RefSeq and is a predicted model, not a curated record. Lineage: Eukaryota; Metazoa; Chordata; Aves; Galliformes; Phasianidae.